This 20-nucleotide transfer RNA is filed under the name Radula amentulosa. Its description in RNAcentral is "partial tRNA-Gly". RNAcentral also lists the same sequence under 2 other names. Lineage: Eukaryota; Viridiplantae; Streptophyta; Jungermanniopsida; Radulales; Radulaceae. The record is from RNAcentral.
AGUGGUAAAACUAGCCUUCC